Molecule: ribosomal RNA, 428 nt
Filed under: uncultured bacterium
Lineage: Bacteria
Description: partial 16S ribosomal RNA
Rfam family: Bacterial small subunit ribosomal RNA
Source: RNAcentral
GUGGGGAAUAUUGGGCAAUGGGCGCAAGCCUGACCCAGCAACGCCGCGUGAGGGAAGAAGGCUUUCGGGUUGUAAACCUCUGUCCUUGGUGACGAAACAAAUGACGGUAGCCAAGGAGGAAGCCCCGGCUAACUACGUGCCAGCAGCCGCGGUAAUACGUAGGGGGCGAGCGUUGUCCGGAAUUACUGGGCGUAAAGGGUGCGUAGGUGGCCUUUUAAGUUGGAUGUGAAAUACCCGGGCUUAACUUGGGGGGUGCAUCCAAAACUGGGAGGCUAGAGUGCAGGAGAUGAAAGCGGAAUGCCUAGUGUAGCGGUGAAAUGCGUAGAUAUUAGGAGGAACACCAGUGGCGAAGGCGGCUUUCUGGACUGUAACUGACACUGAGGCACGAAAGCGUGGGGAGCAAACAGGAUUAGAAACCCCAGUAGUCC